This 450-nucleotide ribosomal RNA is filed under the name uncultured bacterium. RNAcentral describes it as "partial 16S ribosomal RNA". It matches the Rfam family "Bacterial small subunit ribosomal RNA", at positions 354 to 796 of the family's 1533-position model. The record is from RNAcentral.
GUGGGGAAUCUUCCGCAAUGGACGAAAGUCUGACGGAGCAACGCCGCGUGAGUGAAGAAGGUUUUCGGAUCGUAAAGCUCUUUCGUUAGGGACGAACGUGCUCUUUGUGAAUAAUGAGGAGUAAUGACGGUACCUAAAUAAGAAGCCACGGCUAACUACGUGCCAGCAGCCGCGGUAAUACGUAGGUGGCAAGCGUUGUCCGGAAUUAUUGGGCGUAAAGCGCGCGCAGGCGGGAUAUCAAGUCUGUCUUAAAAGUGCGAGGCUCAACCUCGUGAGGGGACAGAAACUGGUAUUCUUGAGUGUCGGAGAGGAAAGUGGAAUUCCAAGUGUAGCGGUGAAAUGCGUAGAGAUUUGGAAGAACACCAGUGGCGAAGGCGACUUUCUGGACGAUGUCUGACGCUGAGGCGCGAAAGCUAGGGGAGCGGACGGGAUUAGAAACCCUAGUAGUCC